CAACGGGUCAGAUUUGGGGCGGAUUUUUAAAAACACGAACCUGAACCCGACUACCAAAUCCGAAACCCGAACCCGAACCCAAACCUGAACCCGACGGAUUUUAAAAAUCCAUAUCCAAACCCGAACUCGACCAAAAAUCCGAAACCCGAACCCGAACCCGAACCCGAAAACCCGAACAUGAAUCCGAAAGAAACCUGAAUCUGACCAAAAACCCAAAACUUGAUUCUAAACCCAAAAACCCGAACCCGAAAAUAAUAUUUACCAAAUUUCGAAACAUAUUAUACAAAAAACUAAAAACAAAAGAUUUUUAAAAAAUUAAAAAAAAUAGUUUCAUUGCCCAACAACCCAC
Molecule: long non-coding RNA, 349 nt
Filed under: Ananas comosus (pineapple)
Lineage: Eukaryota; Viridiplantae; Streptophyta; Magnoliopsida; Poales; Bromeliaceae
Description: long non-coding RNA (ACOM_LNC030466)
Source: RNAcentral